Molecule: long non-coding RNA, 2299 nt
Organism: Mustela lutreola (European mink)
Lineage: Eukaryota; Metazoa; Chordata; Mammalia; Carnivora; Mustelidae
Exons: 5
Source: RefSeq, a predicted model, not a curated record
AAGUUUGCAUCUUGAUUUCAGUUAAACAUUUGGCACUGCAUCCCACCAAAUUUCAUGCACAAAAUUAAUUCAAAUUGUCUUGGAUGGAAGCGUGGUCACAUGGGUUGAAAAUUGGCUGGCGCUCGGUGAACAGCAGGGAGAGAAAGGUGGCUCCCUGUGGCUGGCCUGGUGGUAAGGCCUCAUUUUAAUUUCUGUCAGAAACUGGGACUCCUCAUUCUCCAGCUUCUCCCUCCAUAAUAUUAUAACAAUAACAACAACAUUAACUGAUCACAUACACUGUUCCAGAUUCCAGACACUCUAUCUUACUGAGACCCUUUGUUCUUUUUGCCCUUACGUUUCUUUCUUCACUCUCCAUCUUCCUUCCCAAGCAGCUAGUCAGCUGUGUUGAUCGCCUCAGGAGUCAAAUGUGACUAGAAUGUAGAGGAUGCGUGGCAAAGAGAAAAUGUUCACGAGAAGCGAGAAGAGAGGGGAGCUUCCACCCUCUGACUAGAAACAAGUUCCCCUGAGAGACACUCGUGAGCAAAGGACAAGGUGGGGCUGAGGGUGUGGGGCUCUGCCUCCCAUUUCCUAACCAGAAUUGCUGCCUGUGUCUCCCACCGCCCACUGCGCCUGAGAGGGGAGUCUCCCGGGGACGGUCACAGAGGCUGCCACCACCAGUGGGCUCAGAAGCAGAGAACGGCAAGGUCCGGCUGGACCAUCUGGCCAAGAACAUUGACCUCUCAGCAGUGACCUUCGGGGACUGAGGACGUCCCAGCUUCAUCAGUGGAUGGGGGCCGUUGCCAGGAAAGGAACUCAUCCAUCCUUGGAGUGUCCCAGUGACGGCCCAGGAGCAGAGAGCUCCGUGCUGGAAAAGAAGAGCUGAGUGAAAAUUCUUCGUCGCUGUUGCUUGAGGUUUACUUGAAGACUUUAAUUUUUCAUGCUAUCAGAACUGGCUAUUUCUUAUUAAAUGGGUACCGACAGUAAUCACCAUUCCUUGUAUCUUUAGAGACAUAUUUUCCAAGAAAUAAGAUGCUUGAGUUGCUUCAACCUUGCCAAGGGACAACGCGAUCCCGCUUCAUCACGGAGUGGAAGUCACAGAAGAAGCCUUUGAAGGCAACCCAGCUGCCCCGUUCCGCUGGCGUGUGUGUGACCCUCCGUGCUUCAUGAACGCUUCUGGAUUUCAGUAAAACGCCUGCCAGUGUUUGGAAAAGAAAUACAUUAUUUAAAAGCCUGUGGCCAAUCUUGCCUACUGGGAUAUUAGGGAACGAACUUAGAGUUACACAUCGAGGUAGGAGAGAAUGAAGAAGGUGGAUGUGGGGAUCACUGAAGAGGCAGACAAGACGGGGCUCACGUUGGCAACUGAGUGGAGCCCCAAUAUUCCCUGAAGGGAGUGGACUCUAGAUUCUCUAGACCCUCUACGUGAGGUUCUGCCUCUACUCGAUGGUCCUGCAUAGAGAUGGAACACAUUUGGAGCUCUCGCUUGUAUGCGGUGACUUUGUUCCUGUUCCCCAGAAGGUGUGUGGCAUUUGGAAGUCACUCUCCCUCUCUGUGGUUCUUUGGAAGACUAACACAGCUUGCGAUCUAGACACCAAAGACUGAAAUCUCCAGAGAGCUAUCUUAAUAUACGCCCUCCCCUUCCAUCAAGUUCUUCCCAUGCACAGUAAUUCCUAGUUAAGGUCAGACAGGUGGACAUUUAUAAUAUGUCUGAACACCAAUAAGGAAGGAUUUUUCUGGGUGAUGUGGUUUGGAAGCAAACAUGACUACAAAAUGUCCCCAGGCACAUCUUUCUUUAUUCAUUUGCACGCGAAACAACUUCACUCUAAGUGCACGUAGGUAGACAUAAAGAUUUACUCAUUACCAAUCUGAAUUUAUUGUAAUCAUAUUCCCAAUACUAUUCUUUUUCCCUAAGUGUUUUUUGUUUUCAAGAUUGUACUUCAACCCCAAAGGACAUACUUUUGAGAAAAUACUCCAUUAAAGACAUUGUUGGAGCAACUUUGAUUAUUCAUUAGUGUGUUUUAAAGUGGACCUAAAUAGAAAUGCUUUUCGCUAAAGUAAAAAUACAUCCGUUCCUAUGAUUUAAUUGUACAAUUGGUUAGAAUUUCUAUCUAUCAGUUCAAAGGGAAACUUGGUUUCAAUGAAUUUGUUUUUAAUAAAAAUGUGUUAUCUAUGAUAAAUAUAUUUCACUUUGUUCAAAUGGAUUUGAUUGGGAAAACAUUGAGCAGAAGUACUGGUAGAGCUUAAUUUCAUUGCUUUGAGAAAACGUAUUGAAUGCUGGUUUGAAUUAAAUUCUAUUUGUUUUAAUAAAAGUGUAUUGGCCUGA